Molecule: non-coding RNA, 27 nt
Filed under: Bombyx mori (domestic silkworm)
Lineage: Eukaryota; Metazoa; Arthropoda; Insecta; Lepidoptera; Bombycidae
Also listed under: 1 other name
Source: RNAcentral
UAGCGUUUACUUUUUGCCAAUGACGUA